Molecule: ribosomal RNA, 253 nt
Filed under: uncultured bacterium
Lineage: Bacteria
Description: partial 16S ribosomal RNA
Rfam family: Bacterial small subunit ribosomal RNA
Source: RNAcentral
UACGGAGGGUGCAAGCGUUAUCCGGAUUUACUGGGUUUAAAGGGUGCGCAGGCGGAUAUGUAAGUCAGUGGUGAAAUCUCUGGGCUUAACCCGGAAAUUGCCAUUGAUACUAUAUAUCUUGAAUGCUGUGGAGGUAAGCGGAAUAUGUCAUGUAGCGGUGAAAUGCUUAGAUAUGACAUAGAACACCUAUUGCGAAGGCAGCUUACUACGCAGAGAUUGACGCUCAUGCACGAAAGCGUGGGGAUCAAACAGG